Molecule: ribosomal RNA, 1556 nt
Filed under: Salmonella enterica subsp. enterica serovar Indiana
Lineage: Bacteria; Pseudomonadati; Pseudomonadota; Gammaproteobacteria; Enterobacterales; Enterobacteriaceae
Description: bacterial SSU rRNA
Rfam family: Bacterial small subunit ribosomal RNA
Source: RNAcentral
AAAUUGAAGAGUUUGAUCAUGGCUCAGAUUGAACGCUGGCGGCAGGCCUAACACAUGCAAGUCGAACGGUAACAGGAAGCAGCUUGCUGCUUUGCUGACGAGUGGCGGACGGGUGAGUAAUGUCUGGGAAACUGCCUGAUGGAGGGGGAUAACUACUGGAAACGGUGGCUAAUACCCGCAUAACGUCGCAAGACCAAAGAGGGGGACCUUCGGGCCUCUUGCCAUCAGAUGUGCCCAGAUGGGAUUAGCUUGUUGGUGAGGUAACGGCUCACCAAGGCGACGAUCCCUAGCUGGUCUGAGAGGAUGACCAGCCACACUGGAACUGAGACACGGUCCAGACUCCUACGGGAGGCAGCAGUGGGGAAUAUUGCACAAUGGGCGCAAGCCUGAUGCAGCCAUGCCGCGUGUAUGAAGAAGGCCUUCGGGUUGUAAAGUACUUUCAGCGGGGAGGAAGGUGUUGUGGUUAAUAACCGCAGCAAUUGACGUUACCCGCAGAAGAAGCACCGGCUAACUCCGUGCCAGCAGCCGCGGUAAUACGGAGGGUGCAAGCGUUAAUCGGAAUUACUGGGCGUAAAGCGCACGCAGGCGGUCUGUCAAGUCGGAUGUGAAAUCCCCGGGCUCAACCUGGGAACUGCAUUCGAAACUGGCAGGCUUGAGUCUUGUAGAGGGGGGUAGAAUUCCAGGUGUAGCGGUGAAAUGCGUAGAGAUCUGGAGGAAUACCGGUGGCGAAGGCGGCCCCCUGGACAAAGACUGACGCUCAGGUGCGAAAGCGUGGGGAGCAAACAGGAUUAGAUACCCCUGGUAGUCCACGCCGUAAACGAUGUCUACUUGGAGGUUGUGCCCUUGAGGCGUGGCUUCCCGGAGCUAACGCGUUAAGUAGACCGCCUGGGGAGUACGGCCGCAAGGUUAAAAACUCAAAUGAAUUGACGGGGCCCGCACAAGCGGUGGAGCAUGUGGUUUAAUUCGAUGCAACGCGAAGAACCUUACCUGGUCUUGACAUCCACAGAAGAAUCCAGAGAUGGAUUUGUGCCUUCGGGAACUGUGAGACAGGUGCUGCAUGGCUGUCGUCAGCUCGUGUUGUGAAAUGUUGGGUUAAGUCCCGCAACGAGCGCAACCCUUAUCCUUUGUUGCCCAGCGGUUAGGCCGGGAACUCAAAGGAGACUGCCAGUGAUAAACUGGAGGAAGGUGGGGAUGACGUCAAGUCAUCAUGGCCCUUACGAUCAGGGCUACACACGUGCUACAAUGGCGCAUACAAAGAGAAGCGACCUCGCGAGAGCAAGCGGACCUCAUAAAGUGCGUCGUAGUCCGGAUUGGAGUCUGCAACUCGACUCCAUGAAGUCGGAAUCGCUAGUAAUCGUGGAUCAGAAUGCCACGGUGAAUACGUUCCCGGGCCUUGUACACACCGCCCGUCACACCAUGGGAGUGGGUUGCAAAAGAAGUAGGUAGCUUAACCUUCGGGAGGGCGCUUACCACUUUGUGAUUCAUGACUGGGGUGAAGUCGUAACAAGGUAACCGUAGGGGAACCUGCGGUUGGAUCACCUCCUUACCUUAAAGAA